UUUGCAGUCUCUCCAGUUUCCUUCCUUACUGCCCUACUCUCCUCUUCUCUCUGUUACCCUAUUCAGCCACUGUGGUUUCUGCACUGUUCCAAGCCCACCUCAGGGCAUUUGCACGUGCUAGUCCUGUGACCUGGAGCAAUCAACCCCCUGAUAGUCACAUGGCUCACUCCGUUAGUCCUGUCAGGUUAUAGGCCAAAGGUCAGAGAAGCCUUUCUGGUCUUUUCCUUAUGAAAAUGGCAACUCUUAUCAUCGCUGUCCUUUUAGCUUGCUUUAGUGUGUUUUCUUCACACUUAAAAUUACAUUGUUUACAUAUUGCUUACUGUUCGCAUUGCUGUCUCCUGCACAAAAGUGUAGUCACCAAGAGGGCUGCAUCCCGUACAUGGAGGCAAUCAUGUGCCUGUGGUGGGUGCACGCCUAGCGUGUCUUAAAUGAACGAAACUUCUCCCACGCUGCCCGCCACACUGCAGGUUCUACUCACUCCAGAGUACUUAAUAAUCCCCGGACUUCUUACCUGGUUGGUUUCGCACUUCUGGACCGAAAAACAUUUUGAACUAAGGAAUAACUUCAGGAAAGGACAUAACCCCUCAGUAGAAGAAACCCAGGCUCCACCAACAGCAUUUGAACGUUUCUUUGCCUAAGAUGGCCAAGCUUUCAAAGAGUCUCUUCUCCUUUGAAAUCCCAGCAUAACCAGAGGAACCAGGCCACUUUUAUGGCGGCUCACGGCCGCUCCCUUCACCUGGGUAGAGCCAGGAGUUGGAACUCCAUGCAGAUCUCCCACAGGAGUGGCAGAAACCACCCCCCCACCCCGCCUCCUGGACUCUUCACUGGUGGGAAGCUGCAGGCAGACGCUGAGACUCAACCCCACGACACGCUGGGGGAUCCUUGCAUCCCUGGAGGAAGAGGAUUCAGACAAGAGACAGAGGUUGGUGAUCACCCUGCAGAAGUUAAUGGAGGAGUGGGGGUGGGGGAUGGAAGGGGCUGGUGGGGAGCUCAGCAGAAAACCGAGCGCCCUGUCUAUGCUUAGACUGGGGUUUCAUGGGUGCAGGGGGGACUUUUUCCUGCCGUUCCUACUCCACCCCCUCAGGGAUGUUGCUGGGCAGGAAGCUUCCAGGGUGCGAGGGUGCCUGGAGGGGAGGGGGUAUUCUUGUCCAUUGUGAUCCAACAGGAAGGUCCAUAUGCACUGGGCCAGGAAGCCCCGCCCUCAGCUGUCCUUGGGGGGUGCGGAUCCCCCUUCCCUGGGGUGUUAUUGGACGGGAAGAUUUCCUGGCCGCUGGAUCUUCCCUACAGUGUCAGCGGCCUGGGCAGGAAGAGUUCCUGGUGGAGGUGUUCCCUCCAAGGUUUCCAGAGGGACUUUUGAUGUGCAAAUGUCAGGUUGCUUUCAAGGCAAGCUUCAAAGACCUCUAGGUUCUUCCCUGAUUCAGCUGCAGGAAAUUCUAGUUUUUUUUUUUUCUUUUUUCUUUUCUUGUCAUGCCUAUGGGCUCAUGCCUGUUUGCCUUCUCCCUGCCUAAUACUGAACCGCUAGGAUAAAUGUCCUCUCCCUUAUGUAGUUUUAUGGUUUUAAAAAGUAACCCCAGGGCAUCCAUAUUCUGUCCCAAGGAUAAAGGUCCAUAAUGGGGAGUCAAGAAUCUAUUGGAGGGGCCAGCAUUGUGGCGUAGCAGGUUUAACACUGGCAUUCCAUACAGGAACCGGUUCGAGAUCUGGCUGCUCUGUUUCUAAUCCAGCUCCCUGCUAAUGUGCCUAGGAAAGGAGCAGAGGACGGCCCAAGUGCUUGGGCCCCCGCACUCACCUGGGAGACCUGGAAGAAACUCCUGGCUCUUGGCUUUGGCCUGGCCCAGCCCCAGCCUUCACAGCCAUUUGGGGAGUAAACCAGCAGAUGGAAGAUUCUCUCUCUCUCUCUCUCUCCUCCUCUGAAUGUAACUCUGCCUUUCGAAUAAAUUAAGAAUCUACUGGAAGGACUAGGCAAAUGAUUAAAAUAUAAGAUUUACAAUUUUGAGGAGAAAUGACACAGGUUUCAAAGCAGUUGGGGGCAGUGCAUGGGUGGAUGGGAGAAUAGAGACAUAGCUGUUGCCUGCUGUUGUGCCAGCCCCCCUGCUUUCUAGGGUGAGAAUCUGGGUGAGGUGUUUGCAUCUACGAAAGUAGAUUUCCCUAUCUGUGAAUUUGACUAAAUUCCAGCCUCACCUCAAAGUAGACUCCUCUGUCUUUCUCCAUUGCCUUUAUAUUAGUUAUGGAACUGUGUAUUGUCUUUCUCAUCCACUAGUGGGUCAGCUCUGUGAAGACGGCGACCUUGGCCAUCCUGUUCACUACAUGAGGUUUAAUGCCUAGAAUGGUGCCUGACAUAUAGCAAAUAUUUGAGAAUUAGCCGUUCUGGAAAAAAAAAUGUAGACUUUAAAAGAAAUAAGAUAUGUAAUACACUUGGCAUAGUGCCUGGCGUGUUGUUGAAGAGAUUUUGGCUUUGUUACCAUUGUGAUCAUUGCUAUCAGUUGCUGGAAACUUGGAGUAUGCUCUUCUGAGCUAGGGAAAACUGGAUUAAAAGACCUUAAACUAUGAACAAGCCCUUUGGGUCAUAUCCACUCCUGCAAACUCAGCCAUUUCUGCCUGAACUUCUAACCUGGUCUUCAGCCCUGAUCCACCUGCCGAGCCACCUGCUCACCUUGCUGUUCUCUGAGUCAGCAUCACCCAGCUGCUGGGGAUUUCUCAUGAGGGCUUUGUACACACGCAGAGCCAGAACAGCCCAAAGGACUCCAGCAAACCCUCCUUGUGCUCCCAGCAAGCAUGGCCCAGACUCCUACAAGGACGCCUUGGAUAUGUAGGCAGGGCUGAUGUCAUGGGUAUGUGGCAUUGGCCCUGUUGUUCAGAAGGGUCCAAAGCUUGGUUUAAUUCUCUGCAGUUGCCACCUUGAAAUUCAUUGUCAUUGAACUUGAACAAUGGAGCCUGCACCUGAGCAGAGGCCUUGCCGUGCAUUUGCAUGUAUUUAUCCAAAUGAUGCUCCCUGAACACAGAGUGCUGGUGGACUCAUGAUGUGUGGGAGUUCAGGGACACUCAAAACAGCCUGAGGAGACUGUGACAUCAGAGAACAGGAGACUCAGACAAAUGUCACAGCCACCUCCCAACGCAUUCUCAGUUCUAAUUUGGACCAGGUCAGACCAUCUGGGGCAUCGCUUCCUCCUUGUGGUAGGCAGAAGAAUGGCACCCAAGGACGGCUGUGCUCUAAUCCCCUGGGGCUGUGAAUCCAUCACUUGGAAUGGCCACAGGAACUGCUCUCCGGAUUAGGAAAUGCCUCAAGAUUUUAUCAAAGAGACCUGGCCCAGCAGCCUGGCAUUUUCUUCAGUGAAACCCAUCCUGGAAUCUCUGAGAGGCGGCUGAGGAAGAGAGGGAAGGGAAAGUGAGUUGUUUGCCUUUGCUUAGCUCUGGCCAUUGGCCAAAAGUCCAGCUCUCAAACAGCUGGAUACUGGCAUUUGUCUUAAAAUUCAUCUUUGUCAACACUGCUGCUGUCCUCGGUCUCUCAUUUCCAUUUUCAUAAUCUUCCCUGCUUUCCAUAAGCCCUUGACCUCUUCUGAUCUGUCUCAGUCUAUAAAUCUACCUAAGUAUUACUUAGACUGGCUUGUCACUCUUGCUAAUUCCCAGUUUUGUCAAACUUGGGCAGGUGUUUGGCAGCAAUUCCCUGUAUAAUCUAUGAGACAGAUCCUUCUGGAGUAAUGUCGCUGAGAGGUCAUAAUGCAUGUUUGGGGUUGGCUUGACUUGUGGGACUUUGACUCUUCUACUUUCUACCUCUGUGAUGUUGGCUAAAUAUUCUCUUUGAUUCCAGUUCUUAUCAAAGGGUCAUUUUUAAAAACAUGAUUUUCUUUUUUUUUUUUUUUUUUUUUUUACAGGCAGAGUGGACAGUGAGAGAGAGAGACAGAGAGAAAGGUCUUCCUUUUGCCGUUGGUUCACCCUCCAAUGGCCGCCGCGGCCGGCGCGCUGCGGCCGGCGCACCGCGCUGAUCCGAUGGCAGGAGCCAGGAGCCAGGUGCUUUUCCUGGUCUCCCAUGGGGUGCAGGGCCCAAGCACCUGGGCCAUCCUCCACUGCACUCCCGGGCCACAGCAGAGGGCUGGCCUGGAAGAGGGGCAACCGGGACAGAAUCCGGUGCCCCGACCGGGACUAGAACCCGGUGUGCCGGCGCCGCUAGGCGGAGGAUUAGCCUAGUGAGCCGCGGCGCCGGCCUAAAAACAUGAUUUUCAUCCAGCUGUACAGUGAGUAAGUAUAAAAGGCUUAUUUAACUCACUAAGGAAGAAAUCUGCAGGGUAUCAAUGCUAGCUUGAAGAACAUUCAGAAACAUCUUUAUCCAAGAUUUUUAGUCUGCUAGGAAAGAAGUGCCACAAUAAAAUCACUAAGUGAUAUGUAAAAUUGGUGAAUGCCAUAAAGGACAACAAAACUGUGAUCUUAGGUGCUAUUUUUUAUGUUUUUACUGGACAGAGAUGAUUUGCCUCUCUACUGAAGAAAAUUAUUUACAGCUUGUCAACUUUCUUAAAUUAGGAUAGAAAUUUGCAUAGUCUAGGCCCUAAUUAAUAACAAAUAGUAAAUAGUUACAGUUACAUUUUCUUAGAGAAUUAAGCAGACCUGGGGAUAUCUGUUAGACAAUGCUCCAAUAAGGUAUUAGAUGACAUGCAACAUUCUUCACCUCUUUACAGCUGUUGAAUAAUUUUCUUAACAGCUUUCAUAUACAAAAUAGGACACCUGCAAGAUGCAUUGCAGAAGAUGGAGGAUCUAGUAUAUCAAGCCAUAUAUGAGGCUGUUCUUCCUUUGUCCCUAGACUAAUAGUCUACCAAGAUAUUGCUGCUCUUAAUUCCUAUUAUGUAUCAAUAGCAUCAUGGGGCAAGGAGGUCUCCCUCUUCCAAGCUUCAAAGUUGUGAAGACACCAAUCUCUUCCCUUUGUUGAUCCUGCCUGAGGCCUUGGCUGAUUCUAUUCUGACUGUUACAGGUGGAGAAGGGGUGUACGUGUCCUCACAUUCCUGAAAAUAAGGAAGUUUUCUGUUGAAAACAUGGCACAGCUUAUAAAAUUAUGUCAGUUACUACAUUCAGAAUUGUUACUUUUAUCACUUCUGUAAGGUAUUGUUGAUUUUUUUCUACAAACAAUGCAUUACCAAAGCAGUUUACAUACAUUCUCUCAUUUAAUUCUCAAAGAUAUACACUAUUUAUUACUCUUAUCCUCACUUAAAAGAAGAAGAAACUGAAAUCCAAAUAGGUUAAGCAGCUCCCCCAAGAUCUGAUUAGCAAGUGGUGGGUCUGGGAUUCAAACCCACAACACCUGAAUCUACUCUGCUUCACUUCUGCAUGCACCUUGAGUCCUAUUUGUUUUGCAACUGUGUUUUUAAAAAGUCAAACUGUUUGUUCAUUACAUUGGAAACUAAUAUAAAGAAAACCUGUGAGGGUUAGGAACAUUGGACAAAUGUCAUUAGGGUCCCAGACCCGGUAGAAGACACAAUGUCCUUUCACACUGGAUUAUUCAGGACCACGGACAGCGACCUCACCACUUCAACCAACAGCACAACUACCAGACCCGGUGGCAAUACCAAACACAUUUCCUGCGGUGCAGGCAGCCCUAUAUUGCUCAGGUUGUGCCCUACUGGCAGGCACUUGGUUAAGGGGUUUCAGAAGGGCUGUGAUGUUGUCAAAUUCUGCCACUAGUUACGGGGCUAUGACUCCCUUGGAGAAGGGCACUGCUUUAAAGUUUUAUCAUAGAAGCUGAGUGGGCUGUGAGUGAUCCUGUUACUACAGGUAAUGAUCAAAAAGUUUGAAACUGACCCUAGAGGUUGAUACUUGCAAAUUAUACUUAACUGGAGUGAGAUCCACAUGGCCAAGUUUUGGUGAGACCAGGAGAGAGGGAUAAUAUUUGGGGAAUUUGGAAGGCAAAUAGAAGAGAAUGCCAUGGAAAGUAGGAGGUGUUUAAUGAAGAGGUUAAGAGAAUAUGCUGCUUCGUGGAAGCAAAUUUCUUAGACUUACGAUUUUGCCAAAGGUUGGCUUCAACCUUAGAUGAUUAAGAUGAGAAUAUACAACACACAGACUUGUGUUAAAUUCCUGGCCCCAUAAUUGCUAAACUGAACUUGAAGGCAAAAGUUGUAUUUAAUUCAUCUUUGUACACUUUAGUUCUGAGCACAUGUCACAAAGUCACUGUAUGUUCAGUUGAACUUUUCGCAGAUUCUGCGCAAUCCUGGACCAGUCCUUCCAGAAAUGUCUGAAACUUUCCACACCUGCAGAAUGGCAUCUGGUUUUCUUCACAGGGUUAUUAUGACGAUCAAUAAAAUAAUCAAGAGUAUGAGCUUUAUAAAGCUCAAAGUGCUAAAUAGCAAUUAUUAGUUGUAUGUUUGUUAUGAACCUCAUUAACUGGCCUAUAUUAUUUACGGAGAUGAGAAUAUACUCUGGAAUUCAUUGAAUUCAUUGGAAAAAGGGAGUGCAUUAAAAAGUCUGUUACUGGGCUGGCGCUGUGGUGCAGCGGGUUAAAGCCCUGGCCUGAAGCACUGGCAUCUCAUAUGGGCACUGGUUCUAGUCCUAGCUGCUCCUCUUCCAAUCCAGCUCUCUGCUGUGGCCUGGAUCCUUGGGCCCCUGCAUCCACAUGGGAAACCAGGAGGAAGCUCCUGGCUCCUGGCUUCAGAGUGGCGUAGCUCCAGCCAUUGUAGCCAUCUGGGGAGUGAACCAGCAGAUGGAAGACCUCUUUCUCUCUCUCUUUUUUUUUUU
Non-coding RNA from Oryctolagus cuniculus (rabbit), 6711 nucleotides. Lineage: Eukaryota; Metazoa; Chordata; Mammalia; Lagomorpha; Leporidae. The record is from RefSeq and is a predicted model, not a curated record.